UGGGGAAUAUUGCACAAUGGGCGCAAGCCUGAUGCAGCGACGCCGCGUGAGGGAUGACUGCCUUCGGGUUGUAAACCUCUGUUAGCAGGGAAGAAGAGAGAUUGACGGUACCUGCAGAGAAAGCGCCGGCCAACUACGUGCCAGCAGCCGCGGUAAUACGUAGGGCGCGAGCGUUGUCCGGAAUUAUUGGGCGUAAAGAGCUUGUAGGCGGUUUGUCGCGUCUGCUGUGAAAGGCCGGAGCUUAACUCCGUGUAUUGCAGUGGGUACGGGCAGACUAGAGUGCAGUAGGGGAGACUGGAAUUCCUGGUGUAGCGGUGGAAUGCGCAGAUAUCAGGAGGAACACCGAUGGCGAAGACAGGUCUCUGGGCUGUAACUGACGCUGAGAAGCGAAAGCAUGGGGAGCGAACAGGAUUAGAUACCCUGGUAGUCCAUGCCGUAAACGUUGGACACUAGGUGUGGGGGACAUUCCACGUUUUCCGCGCCGUAGCUAACGCAUUAAGUGCCCCGCCUGGGGAGUACGGCCGCAAGGCUA
This 532-nucleotide ribosomal RNA is filed under the name uncultured bacterium. RNAcentral's name for it is "bacterial SSU rRNA". It matches the Rfam family "Bacterial small subunit ribosomal RNA", at positions 355 to 896 of the family's 1533-position model. The record is from RNAcentral.